RNAcentral lists this long non-coding RNA (861 nucleotides) under Fukomys damarensis (Damara mole-rat). Its description in RNAcentral is "lncRNA (ENSFDAG00000030277.1)". The record is from RNAcentral. Lineage: Eukaryota; Metazoa; Chordata; Mammalia; Rodentia; Bathyergidae.
UGCUCAGUGCGCAUGCGCGGCCCCGCCCCUGCGGUCCCAGCGUGGCGCAGAAGCUGCUGCGGGGCCAGGAGGAAAUAAUCCCCCGGUAAUGACUUAGGAAAGAGCACUGCGCAAAUACUAUGCAGCAUGCGUCACAGAUAAAGGGUUGAAAGUCCCACUGUGUGAAUGAUUCUGAAAGGUUGAGGGAACCAAACGUGAAAGAUCCAAUUUAAAGAAAGGCAGAAGAUGUGAUCGGCACAAAAAUGACAUAAUACUGGGCCUAAAACGAAUGGACAGAUGGGGCUGGGGAUUUAGCUCAGUGGUGCCGCCGCCUGUCUGACAAGAGCAAGGUCCUGAGUUCAGUCCCCAGUACCCAAAUAAAAACAAAUGCAACGAAUGGACAGAUGUUCGGUUUCGGUCCUUCCCGAUAGGAAAGGAAUUGCACAGUAUUCUCAGACGCUGCUUUUGACAUACCCUGCCUGUGUCUCCCCUACCCCAUUUCCCGCAGUGCGGAGAACUUACCCUGAUGAAACGUUACCCCCGUAGGGACACGUAUGUGUGUCCGUCCAAGGUCGCAGGUUGCAGUUUGUGUGGUUGCAUGGCAGCGUUUGGAUUGGCUGAGCACCUUCCUGCUCUGCGUGUUCACGCCAGGCUGCCCUGGGCGGUUGUGAAACAGCAAAUAGAACUGGAAGGAAGGUGAACUUCACUCAGCUGGCGGUGAUCAGCAUGGCGAGUCUGAAAGUCUUCCUGCAAAGGACCAUGACGCUGAUGAUGCCCAAAGCAGGCUGUGAAGAACAAACCCCACAACUGGUUGUUUAUAGAAGUGAGUCAGGCCGAGACAUACAUGCCAAGGUCAGAGUAACUCACACCCAAAUUCUGCUC